RNAcentral lists this ribosomal RNA (701 nucleotides) under Bacillus thuringiensis. RNAcentral describes it as "bacterial SSU rRNA". It matches the Rfam family "Bacterial small subunit ribosomal RNA", at positions 87 to 773 of the family's 1533-position model. The record is from RNAcentral. Lineage: Bacteria; Bacillati; Bacillota; Bacilli; Caryophanales; Bacillaceae.
UGAAGUUAGCGGCGGACGGGUGAGUAACACGUGGGUAACCUGCCCAUAAGACUGGGAUAACUCCGGGAAACCGGGGCUAAUACCGGAUAACAUUUUGAACUGCAUGGUUCGAAAUUGAAAGGCGGCUUCGGCUGUCACUUAUGGAUGGACCCGCGUCGCAUUAGCUAGUUGGUGAGGUAACGGCUCACCAAGGCAACGAUGCGUAGCCGACCUGAGAGGGUGAUCGGCCACACUGGGACUGAGACACGGCCCAGACUCCUACGGGAGGCAGCAGUAGGGAAUCUUCCGCAAUGGACGAAAGUCUGACGGAGCAACGCCGCGUGAGUGAUGAAGGCUUUCGGGUCGUAAAACUCUGUUGUUAGGGAAGAACAAGUGCUAGUUGAAUAAGCUGGCACCUUGACGGUACCUAACCAGAAAGCCACGGCUAACUACGUGCCAGCAGCCGCGGUAAUACGUAGGUGGCAAGCGUUAUCCGGAAUUAUUGGGCGUAAAGCGCGCGCAGGUGGUUUCUUAAGUCUGAUGUGAAAGCCCACGGCUCAACCGUGGAGGGUCAUUGGAAACUGGGAGACUUGAGUGCAGAAGAGGAAAGUGGAAUUCCAUGUGUAGCGGUGAAAUGCGUAGAGAUAUGGAGGAACACCAGUGGCGAAGGCGACUUUCUGGUCUGUAACUGACACUGAGGCGCGAAAGCGUGGGGAGCAAAC